UUGGAGGUGAUGAUUAUUUCCCCAGAUGAUCGAAGCUGAACAAUCUGUGCGAUUUUUCUCUAUUGAGAAACCAAGCCAAAUAAUCUGAUCCAU
Molecule: small nucleolar RNA, 93 nt
Organism: Lotus japonicus
Lineage: Eukaryota; Viridiplantae; Streptophyta; Magnoliopsida; Fabales; Fabaceae
Product: small nucleolar RNA Z103
Exons: 1
Source: RefSeq, a predicted model, not a curated record